This 433-nucleotide ribosomal RNA is filed under the name uncultured bacterium. RNAcentral describes it as "partial 16S ribosomal RNA". It matches the Rfam family "Bacterial small subunit ribosomal RNA", at positions 29 to 507 of the family's 1533-position model. The record is from RNAcentral.
AACGAACGCUGGCGGCAUGCCUAACACAUGCAAGUCGAACGAGACCUUCGGGUCUAGUGGCGCACGGGUGCGUAACGCGUGGGAACCUGCCCUUAGGUUCGGAAUAACUCCCCGAAAGGGGUGCUAAUACCGGAUAAUGUCUUCGGACCAAAGAUUUAUCGCCUUUGGAUGGGCCCGCGUUGGAUUAGCUAGUUGGUAGGGUAAAAGCCUACCAAGGCGACGAUCCAUAGCUGGUCUGAGAGGAUGAUCAGCCACACUGGGACUGAGGCACGGCCCAGACUCCUACGGGAGGGAGCAGUGGGGAAUAUUGGACAAUGGGCGAAAGCCUGAUCCAGCAAUGCCGCGUGAGUGAUGAAGGCCUUAGGGUUGUAAAGCUCUUUUACCCGGGAUGAUAAUGACAGUACCGGGAGAAUAAGCUCCGGCUAACUCCGUG